This 589-nucleotide long non-coding RNA is filed under the name Zalophus californianus (California sea lion). Its description in RNAcentral is "lncRNA (ENSZCAG00015018533.1)". The record is from RNAcentral. Lineage: Eukaryota; Metazoa; Chordata; Mammalia; Carnivora; Otariidae.
CGGAGAGUAAACAGAUAUAUUGGAGCCCCAAGGGUUCAUGGGUAGCGUAUUUACAAAGGAGCCUCUCCGCCAGCCCGUGCCACCGCUGCUAAUGAGAGCGGUCAUUAAGUAAAUGAGACGUCGCCUUUAGCUGGCUUAGGAGUCGCACACUAAGGGGAGAAGAUAUUUAAUUGAAACCCGCACACAGGCUUCCCCACAUGUGACCGCUGUAAGGGAGGCAGCUGCCUCCCCUCUCCUCCCCCGUCCACCCUGCACCCCCCAUGUAAAUUUCAUGAUUGCUUUCCGUGAUGUCAUUUUGAAGGAGGACAGACAAUAGCUGUGGGGAAAGAAAAUGAGUUCCGGGGUGAGCUGCUGAGUCAGAGGUGGACACAAGGAGACAAAGCCAGCAACUGCAGGACCUCGAGGCUCCUCCUGGGCAGACGCGGCAAGGCUUGUCAGUGUUCUGCCGUGUUGGAGCCUGAGGCAAAAGGAAAAGUCGGUAGUACCAAUCCUAUCUUUAUUUAAAUUUUGGGUAUUUUAUUCAUCAUGGAUUUUUGGCAUUAAUUUUGUUAUUUUGAAAUAUUGCAUUAAACCGUUAUCUCAAUCACUG